UGCCAGCCGCCGCGGUAAUACGGAGGAUCCAAGCGUUAUCCGGAAUUAUUGGGUUUAAAGCGUACGUAGGCGGAUUAAUAAGUUAGAGGUGAAGUCCCAGGGCCCAACCCUGGAACUGCCUUUAAAACUGUUAGUCUUGAGAUCGAGAGAGGUGAGUGGAAUUCCAAGUGUAGAGGUGAAAUUCGUAGAUAUUUGGAGGAACACCAGUGGCGAAGGCGGCCUCCUGGAUCUGUACUGACACUAAGGUGCGAAAGCGUGGGUAGCGAACAGGAUUAGAUA
RNAcentral lists this ribosomal RNA (279 nucleotides) under uncultured bacterium. RNAcentral describes it as "partial 16S ribosomal RNA". It matches the Rfam family "Bacterial small subunit ribosomal RNA", at positions 506 to 784 of the family's 1533-position model. The record is from RNAcentral.